RNAcentral lists this long non-coding RNA (2264 nucleotides) under Sus scrofa (pig). RNAcentral describes it as "lncRNA (ENSSSCG00040017905.1)". Lineage: Eukaryota; Metazoa; Chordata; Mammalia; Artiodactyla; Suidae. The record is from RNAcentral.
UGGGGGGGGGGAACAGGGAGGGUGAAAACCACCCAGCGGAGCCGCCGGGGCGGGGAGGAAACCUGCGCCAGGAGCCACGUGCUGGAGCCGGCGCUGGGUGGGUGGCUCGGGGAGCGGUGGGGGAGGGAGAGGCCCUUGCUGGGAAAGGCCCCAGGCCACGUUUCUGGGGGAGGAGAAGAACCGCGGGUGGACACCCUGGGCCCCAGGCCACCAGGGAACCUUCACCUCCGUCUGGAUAAUGCAGCCCAGAUCUCUUUGAUGGGAGCAGCUCUGGCCAAGCCCUGCCUGCUUGGGGUUGGACCUGAAGAAAUGCACUGGCCUAACCUAAUUGCCUUUUCGGACCUCGGUGGGACGGCGCUGGGGCUGGGACGGGAGGCUCUCCCACCUCACACCCUUCAAAGGGGAUGUACGUCCAAGGGUCGAAGAAUUGGAGAGCCUAAGUAAACCCAGGGUGGUUGGCUGUCCAGGGAAGGUGGGGGGAGUCGUAGGAAGAAGAAAGGAAGCAUGCAAAAGAAGGAAGAAGCAUUUAAGCACGUGAUAAGGACAUAACUGCAGUCCUUGGAAAGGUGGAUUUCCUACUCCCUGGGAAUUUAAGCCAAAAUCCCCUCAGCAGAGAAAAUGGAUUAGCUGCAGGAAGGAAUGAGACACGUUGAGGAGUCUGGGCUGCUUCCGAGUGGAUGCUCAAGAAGGGCUAGAGACCCUUUAAGAAGCACCCACCUGCAGUGGCCUAAGUGGCACCUAGAAACUUCUGUAAACCCUUACGGUUUUUCCUGCCUAAUCAAUCAGGAAGGGAGAGGAGCCAGGAAGUCAAGGCAGCAAACCUCCACAGGUGCCUGGGUUUCCUCCCCUGCCCUCCAUCUCACCUCACUCCCCCCACCCAUGGACCCCACCCAUGACCCCCUCUCACCGCCCCCUGCAACCAGGAGCAAACACAACUGCCACUGGUGGGCCCCCUGCUGGAAUUUAUUCUCAGUCUCUUUUCCAGCUUUGCCAUGCUGUUCUUUCAAAGCCACAGCUCAACAAGUGAUGCCAGCCCAGGGAGGGGGUGUCGUCUGUGUCUCCUCUUGCAGGCGGAAGCAGCACCACAGCCGGGAGAACAAAACCCGUUUGGAUCUGUCCAGAGCUGUUUGUCAGUACUGCCUUCCAGGACCACGUGAGCUGCCUCUUGCCCCACGUGACCCUCAUUCAAACUCAGGGAGAACGAGAGCUCCCGGGCCCCUUCUCCUCGGACAGCCUAAUCCCACGUGUGCAGAUGGGUGGCUCAUUUCUGCCAGCUCAAAAUAACUCUGAGCCAGACUUCUGGGAAACCCUGUAGGCCAGGCCUCUGCAGAAGUUAAAAAUGACAGCUCCGGGGAACCAAGGGGUCUGAUUUGCUGAGGGGGAGACGAUGCUAGAGUCCUGUGACAUCAAAGGGCAGAAAUACUGGCUAGGAAUGGGUAUGGAAGGUGUUAGUAGCAGAAGGUCCUGGACCCUGUGUGGUUGCCCUUUGGGGAAACUGGUGGACUAGACUGAUGGGGGUUAUCCUGGGAGUUAAGGGCAGGUGCAGGAGGGGAGCUGUGGCCGGAUACGUAAGCCGCAAACACUGCAACCCCCAACUUCCACUUUUUUUUUUUUCUUUAAUGCAUACUGAGAACUCUCUUGGUAGGAGCUGCCUCCUCCACUGUUUCAAAUUCUGAUUUCUCACAUCUCUAUCAGAGAGACAGUUGCCACCGUCUCUGUGAAGCUCUCUCUCAUCCCACGGUGUGUGGGCCUAGGCACUUGCACUGUAACUCUUCCCAGGCUUUGCUUGGCCUGAGAGGUUUUGCUGUUUUCAACUUCCCUCUCUACCCAGAGGCCUGCUGGGAGGCCCCGAGUUUCAUCUUUGCAGCUCCCUCUUGGCACAACUCCCGGGGAAGUGAGUUAGCUGUCAGCUCUGCCCCACGCUUGCUUGGCCCGAUAGCCUCCUUUGUGUCUAACGGCACUUCCUGUUUGCUGGGUUUUGACCCAACCUGCUCUUCAAGUGACGGUUUGGCCCAGCCUUUGGAACCCUGGCUCCUUAUCCUAAUUGACUCCUGGCAGCUCUUUAUCAGGAGGGGCCUAAACGCCUUCCCUUAGCAGGUGAAACUAGGGCAGAGGGUUGAUGGACCCUAAAGUGGGCCUCACUAAAGCCAGCCUGCCCAUUGUGUGUACAUGCACACCCAGGAACACAGGUGGGCCUCACUAACGCUCACAUGCCAUGUGUAAAUCCACAUUUAUACAAAAAAUAAAUGGGGCGCAUCCCUUCA